RNAcentral lists this ribosomal RNA (496 nucleotides) under uncultured bacterium. Its description in RNAcentral is "partial 16S ribosomal RNA". It matches the Rfam family "Bacterial small subunit ribosomal RNA", at positions 28 to 506 of the family's 1533-position model. The record is from RNAcentral.
GAUGAACGCUGGCGGCGUGCCUAAUACAUGCUAGUCGAGCGAACAGAUGAGGAGCUUGCUCCUCUGACGUUAGCGGCGGACGGGUGAGUAACACGUGGAUAACCUACCUAUAAGACUGGGAUAACUUCGGGAAACCGGAGCUAAUACCGGAUAAUAUAUUGAACCGCAUGGUUCAAUAGUGAAAGACGGUUUUGCUGUCACUUAUAGAUGGAUCCGCGCCGCAUUAGCUAGUUGGUAAGGUAACGGCUUACCAAGGCAACGAUGCGUAGCCGACCUGAGAGGGGGAUCGGCCACACUGGAACUGAGACACGGUCCAGACUCUUACGGGAGGAAGCAGUAGGGAAUCUUCCGCAAUGGGCGAAAGCCUGACGGAGCAACGCCGCGUGAGUGAUGAAGGUCUUCGGAUCGUAAAACUCUGUUAUUAGGGAAGAACAAAUGUGUAAGUAACUAUGCACGUCUUGACGGUACCUAAUCAGAAAGCCACGGCUAACUACGU